GAAAUCUGAAUAACCUGCUCAGGGCCUCUAGUAAGACCCUUUGUACUGAUUUUGGGAAACCUCUGCUUAGGCAGAGGUUA
RNAcentral lists this small nuclear RNA (80 nucleotides) under Ancylostoma duodenale. Its description in RNAcentral is "SmY spliceosomal RNA". It matches the Rfam family "SmY spliceosomal RNA". The record is from Rfam by way of RNAcentral. Lineage: Eukaryota; Metazoa; Nematoda; Chromadorea; Rhabditida; Ancylostomatidae.